This 336-nucleotide long non-coding RNA is filed under the name Oryza sativa Indica Group (long-grained rice). RNAcentral's name for it is "lncRNA OsZS97_03G030610". The record is from RNAcentral. Lineage: Eukaryota; Viridiplantae; Streptophyta; Magnoliopsida; Poales; Poaceae.
AAGCAGUGGAAACCACUUUUCAAAGGUGUGGAGACUGAUGAACUGGAGUUGCUGACAACAAGACUGAAGGAAUGCUAUGCUGGACUGCGAAAUAUCAGAACUGGGGUGGAUGAUCAGUUCCAUUGCCAAAUGGAAACAAAUAUGUUAGCAUUAGAGUUGAGGACUUUGUUUUUGGAUGAUCGAUUCUACAUGGAUGAAUCCAUUGUGGAUUUGUUGAGGUUGUCCUCCAGGUAUGGUCCAAUUGUUGUGGAUGAAAUUACUUAUUGCCCGGGGCACUCAAAUUUUAACAAAAUUAUGUGCAACACUUGGGGGUGUAUCUAUAUAGUGUUUUUGUGA